AAAUUGAAGAGUUUGAUCAUGGCUCAGAUUGAACGCUGGCGGCAGGCCUAACACAUGCAAGUCGAACGGUAACAGGAAUCAGCUUGCUGAUUCGCUGACGAGUGGCGGACGGGUGAGUAAUGUCUGGGAAACUGCCUGAUGGAGGGGGAUAACUACUGGAAACGGUAGCUAAUACCGCAUAACGUCGCAAGACCAAAGAGGGG
RNAcentral lists this ribosomal RNA (203 nucleotides) under Escherichia coli. RNAcentral's name for it is "partial 16S ribosomal RNA". It matches the Rfam family "Bacterial small subunit ribosomal RNA", at positions 1 to 211 of the family's 1533-position model. The record is from RNAcentral. Lineage: Bacteria; Pseudomonadati; Pseudomonadota; Gammaproteobacteria; Enterobacterales; Enterobacteriaceae.